CCCAGUAAACGGCGGCCGUAACUAUAACGGUCCUAAGGUAGCGAAAUUCCUUGUCGGGUAAGUUCCGACCCGCACGAAAGGCGUAACGAUUUGGGCACUGUCUCAACGAGAGACUCGGUGAAAUCAUAGUACCUGUGAAGAUGCAGGUUACCCGCGACAGGACGGAAAGACCCCGUGGAGCUUUACUGUAGCCUGAUAUUGAAAUUCGGCACAGCUUGUACAGGAUAGGUAGGAGCCUUUGAAACGUGAGCGCUAGCUUACGUGG
This 265-nucleotide ribosomal RNA is filed under the name Staphylococcus aureus. RNAcentral's name for it is "partial 23S ribosomal RNA". It matches the Rfam family "Bacterial large subunit ribosomal RNA", at positions 1919 to 2183 of the family's 2925-position model. Lineage: Bacteria; Bacillati; Bacillota; Bacilli; Caryophanales; Staphylococcaceae. The record is from RNAcentral.